Long non-coding RNA from Bos taurus (domestic cattle), 2272 nucleotides. The record is from Ensembl. NCBI's taxonomy places the organism in Eukaryota, Metazoa, Chordata, Mammalia, Artiodactyla, Bovidae.
GAUCACGAACACAUGUGAAAAUAUUGCGUACUAAAAAUUUAUAAAAAGUAAAACUCUAAACCCAAACAUCUCUUCAAAGAUAAUCUUUAAAAAUUAUUUUUGCUUCAUUAUUUUUUAACAUCAGACUAUUAUAAACCUUUUGUUCAAUGUUACAUAAUAUUCACUCUGUAGCAUCUUAUUCAAUCAUAGCUAAGAAGGCAAGAGUACUGGAGUGAAAGAGACUACUAUAAUAUUAUAAAUCUAUUAUAUUGCCUUUGCUCCUUUGUCAAGGACCAGUUGACUGUACUUACAUGGGUGUGUUUCUGAUUUUUCUAUUCCCUUGGCCUAUUUUUUUUUGCCAAUACCACACUUUUUUUUUUAUUACUGUAACUUCUUGAAAUGCAAGUAUAAUGGAUACUGGAGUUUUGACAUCUCUCUGGGAUUAUGAAUUAAGUUUUAAGAUGCAAGCCAUAUUGAUAGAGCAAAAAGAAGAUCUUAUGAAAGAUGCUUAAAUAUACAUUCUCUCAGUACUUCCUAAACUUCAUUCAUUGCCUACUAGCAAAAUUUUUGCACCAGAACUAUCAUGGUGCUAUUUUUCUAUUUUAAAAAAACAAAUAGAGCAAAACAAAAUUCAACAAUGUGUAUGGAAACUGGGUAUAUGAAAAUCUUCACUAAUGGCACACAUCAUGUUUAUUCUUCACAUCUGAAGUUAUUCUAAAUGUUUCAUUUUUUAAGGUUUGAGUUAUUCAUAGGCAUAUCCAAAUUCUAUGCCUGCAAUUUGUGCUAUCUAAACUAGAUUCCCAUAGGUCCACCCACUUUAGCUCCAACUAACAUAAUAAUAACUAGCAUGUUUUACAUGUAAAACUGGCACUAUAUAUAUAUAUACAUACAUAUAUAUAUAUAUACACACUAUGAAUAAAACAGUUGAAAAUAUUCUCACAAAGUUAUCUCAAGUGUACAUAAGGUAACUAAAAAUUUCAAUCUACCUAGGUCUGGGGGAUUUCUAGGACAUAGAACUUUUGAUGCUAAAAUUGGAAUAGUUUCAGACAAACCAGGAUUGUUGGUCACACUACAAGUCUAUAAUAUAUUUAGGGAAACAUGGCAUUAUCUCAUAUAAUAUUCUAUCAGCUACCUAGUUAGAUAUAAUUAUCCCUCUUCUAAAGAUGAGAAUCCAGGUACAAUGUGUAUGUGGUAAUAUGGCCACUAUUAAAUACUGAUAUCUAGGUCUGGCUGGCUUUAAAAUAGCUGAGAAUAAACCAAUUCUCACUUAAUAUCUUACAGGAAAAUCAAUUUUGACAAUGUGUGUUACUCAAACUCUAGCAAGAAACUGUGGGGCUGUCCAGUCCCACCUUAGAUUCCUCUUAAAGGGUUUAGAACACCACAGAGAGCCUUGCGUGAGUUCAGGGACAUAGUCUUCUGGCCCACCAUAAGGAUGCCACCCUGUCUUCCCCCUUGCCCUGUGUUCCUUGUCCGUGUUGUCACUGUCGGCCACCUCACUUCGGCCCCCUUCUACUCUAGCCCUAUUCAAGUGGCCCUCUCUCAACUGCUGAGUGUUUUCAUCUUGCAGAUAUUUUAGUAAGAUAUGAUUUUAUUGUAAAACCUUCCCUAGCUGGGUUCUUUGUAGGAAAAUUUGGGAAGAUCAGAGCUAGAUGGUAAAAUAAACAGAAAUAUUCAUCUUGCUAUGGACUAAAUAUUUGUGUUUCCCCAAAUUCAAGUGUUGAAACAUAAAACCCAAUGUAUUGCUUUUAGGAGAUGGGGCCUUUGGGAGGCACUUUAGGUCAUGAGGGUGGAGCCUUCAUAAAAGAGAUGAAUGCCUUUAUGAAAGAGACCCUCAGAGAAAGCCUUGCCCCUUAUGCCAUGUGAGGUUAUAGUGAGAAGGCACCAUCUAUAAACCAGUAAGUGGGCUCUCACCAGACAGUGAAUCUGCUUGAGACUUGAUCUUGAGCUUCCCAACUUCUAGAACUGGGAGAUGUAAAUUUCUGUUGUUAAUAAGCCACCUAGUCUAUGGUAUUUGUUACAGCAGCCCAAACAAACCAAGACAACUUAAAUAUUUUCAGAAUAUUUCUUCCUCUUCUCAUUUUUCUUGAACGAGUAUCCUUUCAACUUUCUUGCCUAAAAUGAAGUCUGCCUUUCCUUCCAAGAUCUUUUUUCAUAUGCACAGACAUAUGGCAGAUCUGUUUCACUGGCUUUCCAGAUUUUGCCAGAUAAUGUGCUUUAGAUAACUUGAAAUGCUGCUGGUCCAAAUUGAGAUGUACUGGAAAUGUAAAAUACACAUAGGAUUUUUAAGAUUUAG